This 1135-nucleotide ribosomal RNA is filed under the name Micrococcus sp. Its description in RNAcentral is "bacterial SSU rRNA". It matches the Rfam family "Bacterial small subunit ribosomal RNA", at positions 311 to 1455 of the family's 1533-position model. The record is from RNAcentral. Lineage: Bacteria; Bacillati; Actinomycetota; Actinomycetes; Micrococcales; Micrococcaceae.
CACUGGGACUGAGACCCGGCCCCAGAUUCUUACGGGAGGCAGCAGUGGGGAAUAUUGCACAAUGGGCGCAAGCCUGAUGCAGCGACGCCGCGUGAGGGAUGACGGCCUUCGGGUUGUAAACCUCUUUCAGUAGUGAAGAAGCGAAAGUGACGGUACCUGCAGAAGAAGCACCGGCUAACUACGUGCCAGCAGCCGCGGUAAUACGUAGCGUGCGAGCGUUAUCCGGAAUUAUUGUGCGUAAAGAGCUCGUAGGCGGUUUGUCGCGUCUGUCGUGAAAGUCCGGGGCUUAACCCCGGAUCUGCGGUGGGUACGGGCAGACUAGAGUGCAGUAGGGGAGACUGGAAUUCCUGGUGUAGCGGUGGAAUGCGCAGAUAUCAGGAGGAACACCGAUGGCGAAGGCAGGUCUCUGGGCUGUAACUGACGCUGAGGAGCGAAAGCAUGGGGAGCGAACAGGAUUAGAUACCCUGGUAGUCCAUGCCGUAAACGUUGGGCACUAGGUGUGGGGACCAUUCCACGGUUUCCGCGCCGCAGCUAACGCAUUAAGUGCCCCGCCUGGGGAGUACGGCCGCAAGGCUAAAACUCAAAGGAAUUGACGGGGGCCCGCACAAGCGGCGGAGCAUGCGGAUUAAUUCGAUGCAACGCGAAGAACCUUACCAAGGCUUGACAUGUUCUCGAUCGCCGUAGAGAUACGGUUUCCCCUUUGGGGCGGGUUCACAGGUGGUGCAUGGUUGUCGUCAGCUCGUGUCGUGAGAUGUUGGGUUAAGUCCCGCAACGAGCGCAACCCUCGUUCCAUGUUGCCAGCACGUAAUGGUGGGGACUCAUGGGAGACUGCCGGGGUCAACUCGGAGGAAGGUGAGGACGACGUCAAAUCAUCAUGCCCCUUAUGUCUUGGGCUUCACGCAUGCUACAAUGGCCGGUACAAUGGGUUGCGAUACUGUGAGGUGGAGCUAAUCCCAAAAAGCCGGUCUCAGUUCGGAUUGGGGUCUGCAACUCGACCCCAUGAAGUCGGAGUCGCUAGUAAUCGCAGAUCAGCAACGCUGCGGUGAAUACGUUCCCGGGCCUUGUACACACCGCCCGUCUGGCCCGAAAGUCGGUAACACCCGAAGCCGGUGGCCUAACCCUUGUGGGGGAGCCG